CGACCUGCACGAAUGGCGUAAUGAUGGCCAGGCUGUCUCCACCCGAGACUCAGUGAAAUUGAACUCGCUGUGAAGAUGCAGUGUACCCGCGGCAAGACGGAAAGACCCCGUGAACCUUUACUAUAGCUUGACACUGAACAUUGAGCCUUGAUGUGUAGGAUAGGUGGGAGGCUUUGAAGUGUGGACGCCAGUCUGCAUGGAGCCGACCUUGAAAUACCACCCUUUAAUGUUUGAUGUUCUAACGUAGGCCCCUUAUCGGGGUUGCGGACAGUGUCUGGUGGGUAGUUUGACUGGGGCGGUCUCCUCCUAAAGAGUAACGGAGGAGCACGAAGGUUGGCUAAUCCUGGUCGGACAUCAGGAGGUUAGUGCAAUGGCAUAAG
RNAcentral lists this ribosomal RNA (380 nucleotides) under Escherichia fergusonii. RNAcentral's name for it is "bacterial LSU rRNA". It matches the Rfam family "Bacterial large subunit ribosomal RNA", at positions 1984 to 2363 of the family's 2925-position model. The record is from RNAcentral. Lineage: Bacteria; Pseudomonadati; Pseudomonadota; Gammaproteobacteria; Enterobacterales; Enterobacteriaceae.